AGUCUUCUGUAUCCGUGCUGAGAUUUCGUCACAGACCAGACAACAAGGGCUGAUGAGACUUCCAAGAUAAGUGAAGCG
RNAcentral lists this microRNA precursor (78 nucleotides) under Schistosoma margrebowiei. Its description in RNAcentral is "mir-3492 microRNA precursor family". It matches the Rfam family "mir-3492 microRNA precursor family". The record is from Rfam by way of RNAcentral. Lineage: Eukaryota; Metazoa; Platyhelminthes; Trematoda; Strigeidida; Schistosomatidae.